This is a long non-coding RNA of Aedes albopictus (Asian tiger mosquito), 9315 nucleotides long. RefSeq lists it as uncharacterized. NCBI's taxonomy places the organism in Eukaryota, Metazoa, Arthropoda, Insecta, Diptera, Culicidae. The transcript is spliced from 2 exons. The record is from RefSeq and is a predicted model, not a curated record.
AGAAAAUAAAAGAAAAGACGAAGGAAAAGGUAGAAUUAGUACGGAAAACUUCCUAAUAUGCGUACGAUCGAACGUAAGUACAAAUACGUAGGUAUGUGAGGAACCAUUUGCAUAAUUCGCGUGCAUAUGUAAGUCGAUAGUUCAAUAACUUUGCGGUGUUUACUUGCAUGCGAAUUUAUUCGAUCGGAGUCCCUUUAGCGGCACGAUCUUUCUCCGCACCACGACGAACACAUUAAACUCAUUCUGACUGGUUUAAAUAUGUAAGUGUGUGCAAUUUGGUCCACAACAUACCGGCACUUUUGCGCUGGUAUGAAUCAAUAUCGUAGUGGAUAACAGUCACAGUUUUCUUAUCAAAUUGGGAUAACAAAACCAGAUAAGCGUAGGUAUAAAGGAUAGUUUAAUAAAGCAUAGGUUUGAACAGCAUAGGCUUUUUGGCCUUUCAAAUUGGCAAUAUUUUUAUAUUACUAAUCAAGGAAUGUGCCUCACGACACGUCUUAGACUUGAUAGGGGAGAGAGUAAACGACAUAUGCGUCGUGCGUCGCAUUAGUAUAUGCACGUAAUACACGUGUACGUGUACCUACAAUAUAGGGAGUGUAUCUAACUACAAACAGAACUGGUGGAGAUCAUGGGGAUAAACGAUCGGCAUAAUGUUUACUACCUUAUCCAUUUAGGGAUUGCAUUUAUUUAUUUAAAAACACAUAGAUAUUUAUGAUAUGUUUGACUUCAUUGAGUAUAGAGUAACUUUAAACUGCCACAGACUAGCCAAAACUGAUCAUUGGCAAAGAAAGAUUUUAGUUAAUAGCUGUCGAAGUGCUUAUAGCAAACUAAGCUGAGAAGCAAAAAAAAAACAAUAUAAUCUUAUUAAAUCCUACACAAAUUUGUCGAGCUCCUCUCCUCUCCUCUUCUUGGCGUAACGUCCUCACUGGGACAAAGCCUGCUUCUCAGCUUAGUGUUCUAUGAGCACUUCCACAGUUAUUAACUGAGAGCUUCCUCUGCCAAUGACCAUUUUGCAUGCGUAUAUAUACGUAUAUAUAUCGUGUGGCAGGCACGAAGAUACUCUAUGCCCAAGGAAGUCAAGGAAAUUUCCUUUACGAAAAGAUCCUGGACCGACCGGGAAUCGAACCCGUCACCCUCAGCAUGGUCAUGCUGAAUACCCGUGCGUUUACCGCCUCGGCUAUAUGGGCCCUAUAUUUGUCUAAAUUUGUCGAGCUAAUUUAUUUAAAAAUUCUCAGCUGUUUCUGCUGAGAUUUGUUUGAAAUAUAAAAACAGGGGCUCAUGAUAUAUAUAUAUAAGUCCUCCAAAAGUCUCACCAAAAAUUCCCCUGCUUCAGAAUGUUUUCCUGAAAUUUCUACAAAUCCGCCCGGUAUAUAGGGGUAGGUGGGGCAAUAUGGACACCCUAAGGUUUUUGCCAACUUUACCUGGCAAGAUGUCAAACAAGUUUAGUUUUUUGAUACAUGUAUCCUUCUAAAGUCUAUUUAGCAUCUAUUGCAUAAGAAUGCUCACGAAGAAAAAUUAUUUAUCCACUUCAAAAAAUGUUUUGAAAAAUGUUAGUUUUUCAUGACCGUCUUCAAGCAUACGGGGCAGAAUGGACACCCCCCUGGGGCAAUAUGGACACCAUGAGACUUUUACGAAUUUCGUACAUUAUCUACAUCUAUAAAGUGAUUUCAUUACAAAACAACUUUUAUGGAUGAAUAAUACGCCGCAGUAGUUCAUUUUUGUUCAGUUGAUUUAAAUUCAGGCUGUUUUGGAUAAAACUUCGUUUUUGUCGGCAUGUACAGCUGUGCCUAGAACAACUAUUUUCCACUUCUGUCGUUUUUUGACCAAUUUGUUUCACCCUAUGUCUACUAUAGUGAACAUUUAACCGAAAAUAUACUGAAAUCGAAGAAUAUGGUUGGUUUGUGAUUUAGGUUAUAUUUUUCCCUUGCCGCUUCUUUCAAAAAGGUGAGUGUCCAUUUUGCCCCGGCAGCAGAAGAUAUUUCCAAACUUGAUUUUUGUAUAAUAAAGAAGAAAAUAUAAACAUGUUAAGCAUGUAGAUACAGCAAAACUACUUGCAUGUGUUCUAGAAAUAUUAGGUUUUAAUCGACCUGCAAUAAAUGAUUCACUAAAUCUUAUUUUAGAUGGUGUGAAAAUUAUAAUUUCCAUGCACAAAAAACGGAUGACGCAACUUUUUCGUGUAAAAUCAAGUAUAAUUUUAAUUUCGAAUGUUUCUUUCCUGAAACUACGUUUUAGACAAAUGGACUAUAUUCUCCAUUCAUUAAAAGUUCAAAAAAGUUUGCAUAUUUCAAAAUAUUGAGGGUGUCCAUUCUGCCCCGGGUGUCCAUAAUGCCCCGCCUACCCCUACUUAUCUAAAAAUGUGGUUGUCCUUUGUCUCAUAAAUCUUUCUUGGACUUCUGCUAAAAAACCUUCUAAUGUAUCAGAACUCAGGGCAAGAUAUUUCCUUAAUGUUGAAAAACCACUUUGAUUGGAAUGGCUUCGGUACGUUUCCACUCACUACAGUCUUGGAUCGAUGUUAUCAUCCCCGGUGUUAUCAGUUUUUAACCGAUUUCAUCACUAUCUGAGAUUUUAUAAGUUGUAGUGUAGAUUAGAGAUGGUCGGGUCUCAGAUUUUACAGGCCCGCACCCGACCCGUACCCGAAUUUUAACCUAACCCGUACCCUACCCGAACCCGAAAAAUUUUCUUCGAUCAAACCCGAACUCGAGGGAAAUAUUGCUCAAUAAACCCGACCGAAACCCGAGUUUAAAAAUGGUUGUUAAAUGUAUAGUGUAAGGCAACUAGAGUAUUUCUGGCGUUCGAUUUGAAUAGGUCGAAUGUUUGCUGUGAUUCCUAUGUUGAAUAGGUCAAAUCGAAUGCCAGAUUUUAUGAAUAUUGAUUUAUUUUUACUGAUGACCAAACCCGACUUGAACCCGAGUUUAUUCAAACCCGACCCGACCCGUACCCGAAAGUUUUGAGAUUUUCAAGCCUGAAUCCGACCCGUUCCCGUCGGGUAAGGGUUCGGGUUGGGUUUCGGAUCUAAAAACCUGAAACCCGACGACUAUCUCUAGUGUAGAUCGACUGUCCUGCCGUGAAUCGCAUCAGUCCCAUGUAUGCUGGAUUUCCUACGCAAAAGGCACAUAUAUACGAUUCACGGCAGUGUCCAUACUAGCAGAAUUCGAUUGCUGAUACUUUCACUUCUUGUUUAUCUUUAUCUUGCAGUCAUUACGGCCUUAAGGUGACAUAGCUUGUGUUACACAACAGCAAUAGGACACUGGACUAAUAUCUGGACGCAAGUAUCCGGAGCUAUCUCGAAAAUAUGUUAUUCUGUUCUGUUAUUCUGUUAUAAUCAACGCAAUCUAGAAAAUAUGUUAUUGAAAUAAAAAAUGUUUUGCACUCAAAAUUUAGGAUAUUUGUUGCACUUUAAAAAGAAAAUGGCGUUGAAAUUAUUCCGACUUGAUUUUAAUAAGAUCUCAAAACUUUCUUUGAAUACCACUAAUCAUGUCUUUAGUCGGGCCCGUGGCGCAGUGGCUACACGUUCGCUUCAUAAGCGGAUGGUCAUGGGUUCGAUCCCAGCCCCGGCACUUCGUCAGUUGCUCUUCCCCCCGAGAGCGGCUGGCACUUGACCCUCUUCUGAGCUCUCAUAGCUCAAACGGAACCGGAUAAUUGGAUAUCGGCGAACGGCAACCCAUAAUGGACGACCCCCAAUCGAACUGGAAAAGGAACAACAGCCACACAUCAUUUCAUCAUCGUGCUCAUCAUUCUACCAAAGACAGGGUAGGAAAGUGAAAGCAGCACAGAGGCAAACCAGUUCGAUAUACAGGGUGGCAACGUGAAAAUGAUACACUAGUUUGGCAGCCAUACGUUGCCAUUCAUGCUAUUGCAUUGAAGACAAGUGUGCUUGGGGAAACGGGAUCUUAGAUGUGGUUUUUUUUAAGAAACAAAGGAUUCACGGAUCUACUCUGAAGAAUAUUUCCGACAGGGUUGCCAGAUCUCGCGUUCUGCUCAAGACGCACGCUGCUCAAAACAUUUUUUUUUUCGGACGAAAGUUUUUCACUUUGGAAGCGUCUCUGAAUAAACAAAAUUAUCGUGUGUAUAAAGCAAGUCAUCGUGAAAUUCCUGCCGACAAACGAGAGGUUCAACGAUAUCGAAGUGCUACAGCGGUGAUGGUUUGGGGCACCAUAUCAACAAAUGGCCAAUUACCAUUGUUGUUCAUCGACAGGGCCAUAAAAAUCAACAAAGAGUACUUUUUACAACACGUCAUCAAAGAUCACCUAUUCCCCAGUGUCAAAAAACUUUUUGGAAAAGAAAAUUUUUGUUUUCAGCAGGACUCAGUACCGACGCAUAAGGCAGUGGUUGUUGAACAGUGAUGCAAGCAAAAUUUACCGUGCUUCAUCAGCUCAUCGGAAUAGCUGGUUUCGUCUCCCGAUUUAAACCCACUGGACUUUUGUACAUGGGAAUACAUGCUAGGGAACCUGGGCGAUGCGAAGAACUUGGUUUUGGAUACCUUCAAAAACCGUUCGGUAAAAAUUUGGGAUGAAAUGCCGGACGAAGAGGUGCGCGCGACUUGUAAUGACUUCGAAAAGAGUCUGCGGACCGUAAUUCAAAACAAAGGGGAAUGAUUCUAAUUGAAUUAAAUACUUUGUAAGUUUAAUACUUUGUAGUGUUAUCAAAAGUGAAUUUGCAGAAAAACUAAAUCCUGUUUGAAUUUUGCAUCAGUUUUCGAGUGUAUCAUUUCUACGUUGCCACCCUGUAGUAGAAUAAGAAUAUAAUACAUUUAGGCACUGUACAAAGUGUAAGAGCAGCCGCCAAUUGGAAUCGCUCACGUAGUGCCCUAGUGGACAAAAGAGCUGUAAAAUAUGUUAAGUGGUUAAUAAUAAAAAAAAUAAUCAUGUCUUGAACACUCCGUUGAUCAACUUCGGUGGCCAUUUUCUUCCACCAUAUCUUCAUCUCCGUUGCAUCCCUAACCACCUCUCCACUCUUGUUUCAUUUUAGCUUGACAAUUGCCCAAAAUGUCACAAUUGGGAGGACCUGAGGACAAUUUGGGAAAUUAUUCUCCUUUUUUCUUGAAAUCCACCUCGUUGCCUCGGUACAACUGUAACAAUUCUCCACUGUAGUGGCAGCUUGUAAAAUAAGGCCAAAAAUUCAUAGAUCCAUUGUGAGCUAUAAUGAACGAAAAAACACAGUUUUUCAAGCACUCCUGCUUGUAAAUUUUGGAUUUCUAGGUCUUGUUUGUCACGUAAACUUUGUUUUUUUUUGUCUACAGCUUCGAAUACCUUAUCAAAUCAGCAGUUUCCUUGCAAAUUCAUCGGUAAAAACAAAUUCAAACUUGCUAGAGACAUCACCCCGACCUGUGGUUUUAAAGAUCUUUUGUCCGGAAAGCUGAUCCUAGUCCAUUUCACGUACGUUUUAUCCUCCCUGAAAAUGCAUCCCCUUGUGUAUCUCACGUACUUUGUCAGAACCUCGUCAUACAACUUCCGGGCACGUGUUUUGGUCACUACACUAGGUUAUGCUUUAGUUUAGUAUCCUGUUUGGCAGCUUACUGGCCCGAAACUUUCUCGCAGAUGAAUUCUCCUGGCGGUACUUUGACUGGCAUUGUUUUUUUUUUUUGACGGCAUGGUUAUCCGACUGCCUAGGAUUUGCCCUAAAUGUUCUUAACACCUUCAAAUGCAACUUCCGAUCCUUAGUUUCACUAUAACGCUUGUUAUGAUCCUGCCAAUCGAUAGUAUGUCCCUGACGGAAACGUUUGAGAACGCUGCACACGAUCGAUUUGGCCAAUUUCAACGAUUUCGCAAGUUUUGAACCUGAUCACGGCGGAUUUUCGAAGUGAGUGUCCAAAACUAAUUUUCGGUUCGCAACGUCUAUCACACACACUUAAUCCCGUGCUCGAUGUUCGGUACUUUUUAUUGCGGAUAACUUCGUCAAUGAUAUUAAAUUGCUGUGCCCUCGGUUAUAAAACUUUGCUUUUGACGACAACAGCAAGAUUUUUGCUGAACUUUUGUAAUUUAAAAAAAAAAUUAACUGUAUUCAGAUAUUUUUCGUACCGAAGUGUUCGGUAAAGACGAACUGUCAAAAAACUUCGGUCGGUGACAUAUUGCUGAACAGUCGGCAUACAUACUUUCUCAUGCUGAACGUUCAUCAAUUUUCUGCCGAACAUUCCGCUAGGUUUUACUGAACAGAUUGUAGAACAUCUGUCGCUAGUUGAAUGACUAACAAUGGCUCCGCCAUUUGUUAUCAUAGUGUGUUUUUGUGCGCAGCAACGUCGACAACACUGCCGAUUAGGAUUCUCUGCAUUUUUGACUAUCAAAAAGGAAGUUUAAAGAUUUUUCAACGAUAAACGUAGCGUCGGCAUCAGCAGGAUGCCAGACAGGAUGAAUCAGCUGCGAACUAAAUGUUCUCGAAAGGCAGGAAAACAACCAGAACGUUUCAAAAUUUUGUUUCAAAUGUAGAAAAAUAAAGGGAAUAAUGGAACAAAACUGUUUAAAACAUGUUUUUAAUGAGAAAUUCUGAUAAAAAUUGCUUGGAUAUCAAGCUACGUCACUUUCAUAUUGUUGCUGAAUGAACCUCAAAAAAGUACUGAACGGUCGUCACAAGUUUACAAACUAUUCGGUACUUUUUGACAGUUCGAAAAUCUUUCUUGACUACCGAGUGUUCAGCAUUCGUUUUAAUUACCGAAACGAUCGCCGAACGUUCAGCUGUUCUAAUUUCGACAAAAAUAUUACUGAGUUCGGUAAAGAUGAGUUAGUGUGCAUGUAACUUAUUCGAAACAAAACAAAUCGUGACGAAAUUUUCAGCAUUGAAGGGGGCAGCAUUCCGAAACAAACUGCUGUCAAAAUUUUUCAUAUCCGAUCACUAGGAGCGCUGCCGUAAAUUAAACGAUGCAUAGCAUAGUAUAGCCGACCGUACACAUCCUGGGGUGGCUGUCGAUAGAGACGUUCUACGCGCCAGAAAAGUUGCCUGGGACUUGACAAACCUUUCAUUUAACGAACUCUCGACACCUGGCCAAGUCCUAACGAUCAGCGGGGAUGGGGAGGAAAUGUUGAUUAGCUAUCUACUCAGAAUAUGUCCAAGAACUUGGCCCACUUCAUAGAUACAGUAUGCGGCAGGAAAAAAUGCGAAAAUGUUUUUCAACUUUAAACCUCGUUUUCGUCCAUUUGACGUUAACCAAUCUACGAGGAAUUUUUCCAGGAACUCCUCUACGAAUUCCUCUAAGAAUUAACCCAUGAAUUUCUCCAGGAAUUCCUCCAGCUAUUUCUCCUGAGGUUCCAUCAGGAAUUGCUUCAGGAAUUCCUGCAAAGAUUUCUCCACGAAUUUCCAGGAAAUCCUUCGUAGAUUCCACCAGGAAAUCCUCCAGAAGUUCCUCUUAAGAUUAUUCCAGGAAAUUCUCUUUGGAAUUCUUCAGAAACUCUUCCAGGAAGUUCGCCAGGAAUACCUUCAUGAAUUUAUCAUGGGUUCCCCCAGGUAUUCCUCCAAGAAUUCCUCCAGGGAUUUCUCCACAAAUUUCUUUAAGGAUUCCUCCAGGGAUUUCUUCAGAAAUUCCUUCGAGGAUUUUUCCAGGAGUUCCGCUUAAAAUCCUCCAGAACUUUCUUAAUGGAUAUUUUCAGAUAUAGAAAAAUAACAGAAAAAGAAAUAGAAAUCUCUCAGAAUUCCUCUAAAAAUGCAACCAAUAAUUCUUUCACGAAUUCUUCUAGAGAUUCCUCCAGCAAUUCCCACAGGAAUAUACCUGGAAAUUCCUCCAGGCAUUCCUUCAGGAAUUUAACCAGGGAUUUCAUAAGGAUUUUUUCCAAGCAUUUCUCCCGGAAUUGCUCCUAGACAUCCUUCAGAAAUUCCUCAAGGAAUUUCUUCAGGAAAUCCUCCAAGAAUUUCUUCAGAGAUUCUUCCAGGGAUACUUUAAUUUCAGGAAUUUUUCAGGCUUCCCUCCAGACAUUUCUCCAGAGAUUUGUCCAGGAUUUGCUUCACAGAUUCCUCCAGGGAUAUUUCCAGGGAUUCCUUCAGGGAAUUCUUCAGAAAUUCCUUCAAGGGUUCUUCCUAGAAAUCUGGAAUCAAGGGAUUUUUUCAGAAAUUUCUCCAGCAAUUCUUUCUCGAAUUCCUUUGGAUGAUUUCCCCAGGAUUUUUUCUCGGGAUUUCACCAAGAAUUUAUCCAAGAAAUUUCUCCAGGAAUUCCUGCUGGGUCUAAUCCAAGAAUUCUUCCAGGAAUUACGCCAGGAAUUUGUUCAGAAGUUUCUCCAGACAUUCCUCCAGGAUUCUCUCUAGAGAUUUUUCCAGGAAUUGCUUUAGGGACUCCUCCAGGAUUUUUUUUCAGGGAUUUCUUGAAGAAUUCCUCCAAGGAUUCCUUCUGAAAUUUCUUUUAGAUUUCCUCUAGGAAUUCCUCAAGAGAUUUCUUCUGAAAUUUCUCUUAGAUUCCCUCCAGGAAUUCUUUUGAAUUUUUCCUAAGGAUAUCUCCCAGAAUUUUCCAAGAAUUUCCUACAAUUAAUCCUCCAGAAAUUUAUCUGAGAUGUCUUCUAGGAUUUCCUCAUGAGAUCUCUUCAGAUAUUUUCCUAGGUAUUCUUCCCAUAAUAAUUUGUAUUCAUCCCAUGGCACUCCUAAAGUGAGCAAGGGGGGCCUUACUCAUUUUUGAGCUAAUGCUUGCUAGCCAAAGCAGCAUGAGUAAGCUUCACACAUUGAAGCUUUUCGAAAACAUUCCGGAAGAAUGAGUAACUGUUACACAUAAAUGCGAAUGCUUCGCUUGCUCUGAAAAUUUGUGAUAGUUACUCAUUUGACUAAAUUAAUUAUUGUUUUAAGGUUUUUGAAUAAAAAAAACAGUAGUUUCAUUUAAUUAAUAAUUUAUUUAUUACUAUUACCAAAAUUCGAGUAAAAAAAUAUAAUUCCUUGGGCGAAUAUGUCGUCAAAUUCGUGGCGGUUUGUGUUCCAGCGAUGCAGUUUAUCCAAAGUCUUUAGUUAAUCGCCUAAAUUGAAUAAAAAAAUAAUUCAACAACUUAUUUGAAUAGAUUCCUUACUUUAGAAGAUUUUCCUUGUGAUCAUCACAAAGAAGUAAUUUUUUAUUUUUUGUUGAAAACUUUGACAAAUGCUCGCUUUUUGAAGCGUUUGUCAACACAAGCCAGGAGCUCAAAAUUGAGUAACUGGCCAUCAGCUCACGGUGUGAGUAAGACGUACACAUAAUUUUCACACAUUCUCCCGGAUUUGCAGCGAUGCUCCACAGUGAGUUACUGUUACUCAUGCGAUGUGCAGAGCAGUUUAAGCGUGUUGAGUCUUUCCUUUUAGAAGGUGCGUGCUACCCCGACCUCCCCAACAACUUUUUUUUGUUUGUGUGAAGAUCAUCAUCGCAAGAAACCCCAACGACGAUGA